GAAAGGCUAUUUAAGUUUCAGAUGUAUUGGUUCAAUGUUCAGAACUUCUUAAAAGGAGGCGAAGUCAAAGGUAGCAUUCAAUUCAGUUCUACACAGAGAGCUAGCCUGUUAGGAAGGUUUUGCUGAUCUUGGAAGAAGGUUGGUCUCAGAGGACAAUAUCAAAAGAGAAGACUCUAGCGCAGAAUAUGAAGUGCUGUGUUUUCUUCAUGAUAAAUUGGGCCUUAGUGGCGUCGUUCCCUCUCGAUAAACACGCUCAGGAUGAAGAUCAAGGCAAAGACAAAGGUCCUGGUUGGUGCAC
Molecule: long non-coding RNA, 298 nt
Organism: Orbicella faveolata
Lineage: Eukaryota; Metazoa; Cnidaria; Anthozoa; Scleractinia; Merulinidae
Source: RefSeq, a predicted model, not a curated record